CCUACGGGGGGCUGCAGUGAGGAAUAUUGGUCAAUGGACGCAAGUCUGAACCAGCCAUGCCGCGUGAAGGAUGAAGGCCUUCUGGGUUGUAAACUUCUUUUACCUGGGAAGAAAACUACGAUUUCUAUCGUAGCCGACGGUACCAGAGGAAUAAGCACCGGCUAACUCCGUGCCAGCAGCCGCGGUAAUACGGAGGGUGCAAGCGUUAUCCGGAUUUACUGGGUUUAAAGGGUGUGUAGGCGGGCUUUUAAGUCAGUGGUGAAAUCUCCGGGCUCAACCUGGAAACUGCCAUUGAUACUAUUAGUCUUGAAUUUUGUUGAGGUAGGCGGAAUAAGUCAUGUAGCGGUGAAAUGCUUAGAUAUGACUUAGAACACCAAUUGCGAAGGCAGCUUGCUAAACCAAUAUUGACGCUGAGGCACGAAAGCGUGGGGAUCAAACAGGAUUAGAUACCCUUGUAGUC
RNAcentral lists this ribosomal RNA (460 nucleotides) under uncultured Chitinophagaceae bacterium. RNAcentral describes it as "bacterial SSU rRNA". It matches the Rfam family "Bacterial small subunit ribosomal RNA", at positions 338 to 795 of the family's 1533-position model. The record is from RNAcentral. Lineage: Bacteria; Pseudomonadati; Bacteroidota; Chitinophagia; Chitinophagales; Chitinophagaceae.